UACGGAGACUGCAAGCGUUAUUCGGAUUCACUGGGCGUAAAGGGUGCGCAGGCGGCCAAGUGUGUGAGGCGUGAAAGCCCGGGGCUUAACCCCGGAAUUGCACCUCAAACUACAUGGCUAGAGCAUUGGAGAGGGUAGCAGAAUUCAUGGUGUAGCAGUGAAAUGCGUAGAUAUCAUGAGGAAUACCAGAGGCGAAGGCGGCUACCUGGACAAUUGCUGACGCUCAGGCACGAAAGCGUGGGGAGCAAAAGGG
RNAcentral lists this ribosomal RNA (253 nucleotides) under uncultured bacterium. RNAcentral describes it as "partial 16S ribosomal RNA". It matches the Rfam family "Bacterial small subunit ribosomal RNA", at positions 524 to 776 of the family's 1533-position model. The record is from RNAcentral.